Molecule: RNA transcript, 7481 nt
Organism: Mastomys coucha (southern multimammate mouse)
Lineage: Eukaryota; Metazoa; Chordata; Mammalia; Rodentia; Muridae
Gene: Lrp3
Gene name: LDL receptor related protein 3
Exons: 9
Source: RefSeq, a predicted model, not a curated record
UGGCGCGGCGCGGCCUCCCGGCUCCAGGCUCAGGCGAGGGGCCGGCCCGGAGGACGAACGGACCGACCGACGCACCCUCGUAGGCACCGUGGGGCGUAGCGCGGGCGGCCCGGGGUGCGACGGGCAGGGCGCGCCGGGGCAUGGGCGCGCCGGAGGUGUCGGUGCGCAGGCCGGGCUGGGCGCGCUGGCCGGGGUUCCGGGACAGCGGCGGGCGAGGGUCUUCCCUGGCGACCGCCGCUGAGCCCCCGCGGGGCCCGUGACGCCGCGGCCGAUGUGGCCCCGCGCGUUGCGGGCCUGCACCGCCGCCGCACAAAGACGCCGCCGCAGCCGCCGCCUGCACCCGGGCCGCAGCCGCCGCGCCAGCCCUAGCCCCAGGCGGAGCCCCGGCCGCAGGGCAGCAGGCGUCCGCCCGCGGCCCGCUCCGGCAUGGAGAAGCGCGCGGCCGCGGGGCCGGAGGGGUCGCCGGGCGCCAGGGCGCCGCUCGCAGUCGUCUGCCUGGUGAACCUCUUUCUCACUGGGAGGCUGAGCAGCGCAGUUCCCGCCUUAGGCAAAACAGGAGCUACGUGGGGUUUCGGGUUUCAGGCUGCCACUGAGCCCACUGGGACUCAAGCUGCCUGCAGUGGGAAGUUGGAACAGCAUACUGAACGACGAGGGGUUAUCUACAGUCCAGCCUGGCCCCUCAACUACCCACCAGGCACCAACUGCAGCUGGUACAUUCAAGGGGACCGUGGUGACAUGAUCACCAUCAGUUUCCGAAACUUUGAUGUAGAGGAGUCUCACCAGUGUUCCCUUGACUGGCUCUUGCUGGGCCCAGCAGCUCCUCCUCGCCAGGAGGCCUUCCGCCUCUGUGGCUCAGCCAUCCCACCGGCCUUCAUCUCUGCCCGUGACCACGUCUGGAUCUUCUUCCACUCAGACGCCUCCAGCUCCGGCCAGGCCCAGGGCUUCCGCCUCUCCUAUAUUCGAGGGAAGCUGGGCCAGGCAUCCUGCCAGACAGAUGAGUUCCGCUGUGACAAUGGUAAAUGCCUGCCUGGUCCUUGGCAGUGCAACAUGGUGGACGAGUGUGGAGACGGCUCAGAUGAGGGUAACUGUUCAGCGCCUGCCUCGGAGCCACCAGGCAGCCUGUGCCCCGGGGGCACCUUUCCCUGUAGCGGAGCCCGCUCCACACGCUGCCUGCCGGUGGAACGGCGCUGCGACGGCACACAGGACUGCGGUGACGGCUCUGAUGAGGCUGGCUGCCCCGACCUAGCAUGUGGCCGGCGGCUUGGCAGCUUCUAUGGUUCCUUCGCUUCCCCAGACCUGUUUGGCGCCGCCCGUGGGCCUUCGGACCUUCACUGCACUUGGCUGGUGGACACGCAGGACCCGAGGCGUGUGCUGCUGCAGCUGGAGCUACGGCUGGGUUAUGAUGACUAUGUCCAGGUGUAUGAAGGACUGGGAGAGCGUGGGGACCGUCUGCUGCAAACGCUUUCCUACCGCAGCAACCACCGGCCCGUGAGCCUGGAAGCUGCGCAGGGCCGCCUCACUGUGGCCUACCAUGCUCGUGCGCGCAGUGCUGGUCACGGCUUCAAUGCCACAUACCAGGUGAAGGGCUACUGCCUCCCAUGGGAGCAGCCUUGUGGGAGCAGCGAGGGAGAUGACGACAGCACAGGGGAACAAGGCUGCUUCUCAGAGCCACAGCGCUGUGAUGGCUGGUGGCAUUGUGCAAGUGGCCGGGAUGAGCAGGGAUGCCCAGCAUGCCCUCCAGACCAGUAUCCCUGUGAGGGUGGUAGCGGCCUGUGCUAUGCACCUGCCGAUCGUUGCAACAACCAGAAAAGCUGCCCGGAUGGCGCCGAUGAGAAGAACUGCUUUUCCUGCCAGCCGGGCACCUUCCACUGUGGUACGAACCUGUGCAUCUUUGAGACGUGGCGCUGUGACGGUCAGGAGGACUGCCAAGAUGGCAGCGAUGAGCAUGGCUGCCUGGCUGCCGUGCCCCGCAAGGUCAUCACCGCCGCCCUCAUUGGCAGCCUAGUAUGCGGACUGCUGCUUGUUAUUGCCCUAGGCUGUGCCUUCAAACUCUACUCCCUGCGCACGCAGGAGUACAGGGCCUUUGAGACCCAAAUGACACGCUUAGAGGCAGAGUUUGUGCGGCGCGAGGCCCCCCCAUCCUACGGUCAGCUCAUCGCACAGGGCCUCAUCCCACCAGUUGAGGAUUUUCCUGUCUACAGUGCAUCCCAGGCUUCAGUGCUACAGAACCUUCGCACGGCCAUGCGACGACAGAUGCGUCGGCAUGCCUCCCGCAGGGGGCCAUCUCGUCGCAGACUGGGCCGCCUCUGGAACAGGCUCUUCCACCGGCCGCGGGCACCUCGAGGCCAGAUCCCACUGCUGACCGCCACACGUACCUCACAGACCGUGCUGGGUGAUGGGCUCCUCCAGGCAGCACCAGGGCCUGUCCCAGAGCCUCCAGCGCCCAAUACAGACACAGGCAGCCCCAGGGAGGCUGGAGAUGGGCCUCCUAGUAGCUCUGGCCAUGCACCAGAAGUGGGGCCUUCAGUGCCACCCCCACCCUUGAACCUGCGAGACCCAGAGUACAGGCCAGAGGACAAGGAGAGAAAGGCCUGUGUGGGCCCUCUGGAAGACAGCCCAGCUCCUGUGGACACACCUCCAGAGCCCUGCUUGGCACAAGACCCCCAGACUCCCACUGCCAGUGGCACUCAAGAGCCCCACUCAGCAGAGCCACUGGGGGUCUGCAGGAGCCCUCCACCAACCUGCUCCCCAAUAUUGGAGGCUAGUGAUGAUGAGGCCCUGCUGGUCUGCUGACCUGUUGGACACUGGUGACUGCCACAGCCCCGCUUUGGAACCAGGGAAUACACAGUCAUUUCUACCCGGCCUCUGCAUUCUUUCUUACAGAGACCCACCUAGCAGCCCCAGUGAAGGGCCUGGGUGCUCCGUCAGUGGGCUACCUCUGCAAUCCUACUGCUCUGAAGAGCUGCUUUGCAGGGGCUUCGGGGGUUGGCCUGGGAAAGAGGGAGGGGCGACAAGACCACCUUUGAGAGCAAGCAUGAGCAUAGUUCCUUGGAGUCUCACAGCAAAUUGCUCUCUACCAUACUGAUCUGGGGAUUCAUUUCCAGAAAAGCAGGAGAGCCAAAACCAGGUUUUCUGGAAUGUCUUCUGUGGCUUCUCAGUUCAUUCAUCCUGCGGCACCAGCUGCCCAUCCCCAGACUGUGCCAGGAGCUGUAGUUGAGGCCUGAAAAGGCCAUGGGGAGGGGUUGGACCUCAUUCAUGAACACUCCCAGGAAGAAGAUGGGGACCCCAGUGAGGAUAAUGAUGAUGCCAACCCCACAGACCAUGGGCUCCGAGACGAAGCUGAAGACCAGUAGGAAUGCCCAGAACACCAAGUACACAACAGGAAUGAGGAGGUUCACCUAUCGGAGAAAGGAUGAACAGGAGCACCAGGGAGCAGCACCCUAGUUCUUUUGCCACCCAGGGGAUCAGAGGCACUGCCUCCAUCUCUUGGGAAUGGGGCCCCUGUGCUGGCCCCUCUGGUAGCUAUGCAGUGUACUGGAGAGCAAUUCCUGGGUUGACCAGUUGGCCAAACUGCUGAGGCUGUCUAUUUGAGCAGUACUGAGCUGUCUGUAACAGUUAUACACAGAAAGCUGUUUAUAUUUGGCUGCCGCUCAACUAUUUUUCCAUGCUUCGAAUUUCAGGCAAUCUUCAGGAUUCAUAUACAGAUGGGAGGCUAUCUGUCACCCUUUCAUGUGGGAUCAUGAGAAUACCAGGCUUUGUGACUGGCAGCCAAUAUGACCUUAAUCUCAUUGUCCCUGUCUGUGGACUGGGGAUACUAAAAGCACUUGCUUCCUGGGGUGAGAGGAGAGAAUAUGUGGGUGGGUAGAAAGCCCUACACUCUGCAAAUGCUGUAGUCCAUUGUCAUCAUCACCUAUACCUGCUUCUAGUGCUCAACUUGGAUGAAGAUGGCCCUGUUAUUUCCAGCCUCACCUUAAUGGGCCUGUGGAGUGCCGGCCGUCUCCAGCGCAGCACAAGCAGGCCCAGGAUAGUGACUCCGUAGCAGAGGUAGUUGAUGAAGGACACAUAGUUGAUGAGUGUGUAUGUGUCACCCACGAGCAUGAUGACCGCUGUGGCCCCGCACUGGGAGAGGACCAAGGGCUGACAGCUGGCCUCCCACCUGCUUCUGGCCAUCCCUGUAGGCUUCUCUGGGCCUUCCCACUCAGGUCAGGAGGUCAGGUGAGUCCCAGCCCAUCCCAACCCUCCAUAGCUCAUUUACUAUAGGCAGGAAUAAGUUUUGGCCAUUAUCCCACAAGCCCCCAUUGCUAGGUGUCCCUGGCUACAUGCACUAGCUGGUUGAGUUUCCCAACUUACACAGACAAGGAGGGCAGGAAUUGGGGUGCAGCGUCUGACAUGAAUCAUGGCCAGAAAGCUGGGUAAGUGUCCCUCUCGGGCUCCAGAGAAGCAUAGCCUAGGCACAGGGAAGGAGAUGGAUAAGGGCCAGAGCCUGGCCUUGAGGCUUCUCUGCUGCUUGCUAGAACCCAGCUGUCACAUUGACCUCUGCCCUCCAGGCCCUACCAGCUCUCCUCAUGUGUUCUGCCUCCUGGCUUUCUUUACUUCAAGACUGAGAUCAGACAUUUGUUACUGGAGAGUCUCAGCUUUCCCUUCCUAAGGUCCCUAUCGUGGUGUGCACACAGCAAAGACAUCUGCCUCAUCUCACCUAUACCAUCCUCUCCCCCUUUCCUCAGACCAGUCACCUGGAUGAGGUGAACAGGUAGCCAUUGAUCCCUCCAAAAGUAGAGAGUGCCACAGAGGCAGGCAUGACCCACGAAAAGUAGCCCAGCAGCUUCUCGCCGAAGGUCUGCAUGGGCACAGAAAAGAGGCCAAGUGUGAGGCUGGGGAAAGGGAAGGGCUGCAGAGGGAGCUGAGGUCCCCACUCACCACGGCCACUGCAUUGGAGGACAGCAACUCCUGGGGAGACAUGGCAGUGAAGUAGGCGACAUUGGUGAAUGUGUACACAAAGGUGACCAGCGGGAUGGAAAUGAAAAUGGCUCGAGGUAGGUUCCUGAGGACAGAGACUGGAGUGUCAGUGUCAAUUCCUGGUACAAAGAUAGAGUUGUAUAUAGUGAGGGGAACUUGGAGUCUUGAUCUGCAUCUGCCCAGGGGAUGGCAGGGACAUACUGCUGUCUGCCUUUCCCCCAAACCCCUGUCUGAGCACCAGGUGACAGAAAGAGGGACAGAUGAGAGCCGAGGCCACCGGGAUGAGGACACAUCAUCUCCUGAGGGCAGGAUCUAAUUAAUGUCUGGAUAGAGACAAAAAAACGUGUGCAGCCAGAGUCAGCCUAGAAAAUCUCCCAGAUGCCUUCAGAGCUCAGCCCUCAGGUCUGAGGUCUCCCUAGAGAUUCUCCACCUGCCCCUGCCCCUGCAGCAGCUAUUGUCCCUGUCAAGGUCCCUGGCUGAGCAUCAGAUGGAACAUCACCGGGCUCUAGCCUUCAGAACCACAUUGUGUGCAUAUGGAUAGUUUGGGGCCAGAUGUAAAUCGCUAAACACAGCAGGGAAAUGAUAUUCAAGUCUUUCUGAGGCCUCAUGAGAGGCCCAGUUGCAGCUGCAGACAGGGAAGAGUACAGCUUCAAAAGGGCUCUUUUGAGGGCUGUUGUCAUGACAGCAAUCGUGGUCAGUGGAUGACCAGUCUGAGCUGCACAGAAGAUCUGUGACGACAACUGCUUUGAGCGGGUGCUUCACUUACUUGCGAGGGUCAACCAGCUCUUCGGUGACAUAGUUGAGGAAGUUCCAGCCACUGAAGGCAAAAGAACCUUGGAGGAAAGCCAGGGCUAGGUGACCCACAGAUGGUGUCAUCCAGAAGGCGAAGGCAUUGGUGGGUCUCAGCUCUUCAAAGUGUCCUGGGAAGUCCAGACGUCAGGGGUUAGCACAGUCUCCCGAGUCUCUCCAGUGAUUCCCACCCAGUUCUACCUUGGAAGAUCUGGACAAAGCCAACGGUGAUGAUGAGAGACAGUGCCAGCAGCUUCCCGCCAGUGAAGAUAACCUGGAUGCGCGUGGCCCAGCGCACACUGGAGCUGUUCACCCACGUCAGGAGCACUGGAGAAGGAAGGGGUAUGGAUGCCUGAGGCUGAGCCACUCGUGGUAGCCCAUAGCCAGAUCUAGGCUAGAGGAACAGCCCCUGCAGCAGCCCUGGGUCUCAAGGUUGAUGUUACAGGUGAUAGCAGCUAGGAGCUCCCUCUCCACUUUCCUCCCAGCAGAGUGGGCCGAGAAUAUCAUGGGGUGGGGUAUCCAGCUGCUGUGGGGACAGAGGAUCAGGGACACUCACUCAGGCAGGCCAUGGAGAGUACUCGUGAGGCUGUGGCUGGGGGGAUACAGUUGGGAAAGACAGGCUGAAGCACAUAGUUGGAGAAGGUCAUGGAGAUGACAGCCAGGCUGGUGGGAUACAUGAUGAGGACAGCACUCCAGAGCAGUAGGAAUCUGUGAGCAAUCAAGGGCCAGCAUGGUACAGGCACACCCCUUGCCUGCUCCAGAUGUGAGCAUCUGGGAUAGAUGGGGACCAGCUUCCAAGAGCUGGUGAGCUGCCAGAGGCUGGGGAGGCGGCUAUCGGAACAACUGGAAACUGAUACCAGGCUGUUCCCUGAGCCCAGCCUUCAAGCCAUAGCAUUAUCUAAGGCUCUCGGGGUACUUUGUGGUUUAAGAUGAUUGGUUCUGAGCAAUGUUUCUGCCUUGAUUUUCAAAGAAGAGUGAUUUUAUGCCCCUUAUACCAGUAUCCUUUAGGUAUAUGUUCAAAGACUGCUUUUGUUCAGAUAGGGGAUCCUGCCUGCACCCUCGGGGAUAAUGUUAGCUCUUAGCUCUUAAGGUGAGGAGUCCCUUGGGACAUGCCUCUUGAUCUUCACCUUAGAUCUGUGGCCAUGUCUCCUACUCUACCCCACUUCUGCAUGACCCAAUCCCUUGGCUUCUCAGGCUUUAUAGAUCAACAACAGUCCAUCCCCUUUGCUCACCUUGCAUCUUCUGGCUGCCCUCGAAGUGGAAUCCAGGGCUCUUUCUCACCUUCUCUGAGUAUUAUCUCCAGGUCCACAGUAUCAAAAACUGACUGAGUACCUCCCUCCACAUGCCACAGACCCCCAUACUAAUAUAGAUCUUACCCUGAAGAAUCCCCUUCUCUAUUACUGAGAUCAUCAUUUAUAGAGCCUUUAAAAUGUGACAGUGGGCAUCACCCCACUGCAUCCACUUGACACUCAUGACACAUCGGCUACCAUGUCCUCCUGGGCUAAAUGUUAAAUGACUGGGUUAGGUCAUUGAACUUAUCUGGACAGCUACAGCAACUUCAAUCCUCCCAUCUUGCCGACACUUCUGUGAACCUGACCUCACCUCUACCCAUAGCAGAAAGACUUCCUGGCUGAGACCACCACAUCCUCUGAGUAAGCAUACACUCAGAGCCUAGAAAAGAUGCUCUUUUUUGCUGAAGGGGCAUAUCUUUCUUGCAAGGCUGUAUAAAUGGCAUU